This 75-nucleotide transfer RNA is filed under the name Promethearchaeota archaeon. RNAcentral describes it as "Candidatus Lokiarchaeota archaeon (permafrost metagenome) tRNA-Asp". It matches the Rfam family "tRNA". From Rfam's summary of the family: Transfer RNA (tRNA) molecules are approximately 80 nucleotides in length. Their secondary structure includes four short double-helical elements and three loops (D, anti-codon, and T loops). Further hydrogen bonds mediate the characteristic L-shaped molecular structure. tRNAs have two regions of fundamental functional importance: the anti-codon, which is responsible for specific mRNA codon recognition, and the 3' end, to which the tRNAs corresponding amino acid is attached (by aminoacyl-tRNA synthetases). tRNAs cope with the degeneracy of the genetic code in two manners: having more than one tRNA (with a specific anti-codon) for a particular amino acid; and 'wobble' base-pairing, i.e. permitting non-standard base-pairing at the 3rd anti-codon position. The record is from RNAcentral. Lineage: Archaea; Promethearchaeati; Promethearchaeota.
GCCCACAUAGUGUAGCUCGGUCCAGCAUUCGGGACUGUCACUCCUGCGACGCGGGUUCAAAUCCCGCUGUGGGCG